GACGAACGCUGGCGGCGUGCUUAACACAUGCAAGUCGAACGGAAAGGCCCUGCUUUUGUGGGGUGCUCGAGUGGCGAACGGGUGAGUAACACGUGAGUAACCUGCCCUUGACUUUGGGAUAACUUCAGGAAACUGGGGCUAAUACCGGAUAGGAGCUCCUGCUGCAUGGUGGGGGUUGGAAAGAUUCGGCGGUUGGGGAUGGACUCGCGGCUUAUCAGCUUGUUGGUGGGGUAGUGGCUUACCAAGGCUUUGACGGGUAGCCGGCCUGAGAGGGUGACCGGCCACAUUGGGACUGAGAUACGGCCCAGACUCCUACGGGAGGCAGCAGUGGGGAAUAUUGCACAAUGGGCGGAAGCCUGAUGCAGCAACGCCGCGUGCGGGAUGACGGCCUUCGGGUUGUAAACCGCUUUCGCCUGUGACGAAGCGUGAGUGACGGUAAUGGGUAAAGAAGCACCGGCUAACUACG
Molecule: ribosomal RNA, 466 nt
Filed under: uncultured bacterium
Lineage: Bacteria
Description: partial 16S ribosomal RNA
Rfam family: Bacterial small subunit ribosomal RNA
Source: RNAcentral